UACGAAGGGGGCUAGCGUUGCUCGGAAUUACUGGGCGUAAAGGGAGCGUAGGCGGAUAGUUUAGUCAGAGGUGAAAGCCCAGGGCUCAACCUUGGAAUUGCCUUUGAUACUGGCUAUCUUGAGUACGGAAGAGGUAUGUGGAACUCCGAGUGUAGAGAUGAAAUUCGUAGAUAUUCGCAAGAACACCAGUGGCGAAGGCGGCUCACUGGCCCGAUACUGACGCUGAGGCACGAAAGCGUGGGGAGCAAACAGG
This 253-nucleotide ribosomal RNA is filed under the name uncultured bacterium. RNAcentral's name for it is "partial 16S ribosomal RNA". It matches the Rfam family "Bacterial small subunit ribosomal RNA", at positions 524 to 776 of the family's 1533-position model. The record is from RNAcentral.